This 343-nucleotide unclassified non-coding RNA is filed under the name soil metagenome. RNAcentral describes it as "partial contains 5.8S ribosomal RNA, internal transcribed spacer 2, and large subunit ribosomal RNA". The stretch from base 1 to 120 matches the Rfam family "5.8S ribosomal RNA", at positions 35 to 154 of the family's 154-position model. The record is from RNAcentral.
GAUGAAGAACGCAGCGAAAUGCGAUAAGUAAUGUGAAUUGCAGAAUUCAGUGAAUCAUCGAAUCUUUGAACGCACAUUGCGCCCGCCAGUAUUCUGGCGGGCAUGCCUGUUCGAGCGUCAUUUCAACCCUCAGGCCCCGCCUGGCGUUGGGGAUCGGCGCGACCCUCUCCGGGCUGCCGGCCCCGAAAACUAGUGGCGGUCUCGCUGUAGUCCUCCUCUGCGCAGUAGCAACGCUCGCACUGGAACUCGGCGCGGCCACGCCGUAAAACACCCCACUUCUGAAAGUUGACCUCGGAUCAGGUAGGAAUACCCGCUGAACUUAAGCAUAUCAAUAAGCGGAGGA